AAAGAAUUUCGGUUAUCGAUGGGGAUGCGUUCCAUUAGUUAGUUGGCGGGGUAACGGCCCACCAAGACGACGAUGGAUAGGGGUUCUGAGAGGAAGGUCCCCCACAUUGGAACUGAGACACGGUCCAAACUCCUACGGGAGGCAGCAGUGAGGAAUAUUGGUCAAUGGACGAGAGUCUGAACCAGCCAAGUAGCGUGAAGGAUGACUGCCCUAUGGGUUGUAAACUUCUUUUAUAUGGGAAUAAAACAGGGUAUGCAUACCCUCUUGUAUGUACCAUAUGAAUAAGGAUCGGCUAACUCCGUGCCAGCAGCCGCGGUAAUACGGAGGAUCCGAGCGUUAUCCGGAUUUAUUGGGUUUAAAGGGAGCGUAGGUGGAUUGUUAAGUCAGUUGUGAAAGUUUGCGGCUCAACCGUAAAAUUGCAGUUGAAACUGGCAGUCUUGAGUACAGUAGAGGUGGGCGGAAUUCGUGGUGUAGCGGUGAAAUGCUUAGAUAUCACGAAGAACUCCGAUUGCGAAGGCAGUUCACUGGACUGCAACUGACACUGAGGCUCGAAAGUGUGGGUAUCAAACAGGAUUAGAUACCCUGGUAGUCCACACAGUAAACGAUGAAUACUCGCUGUUUGCGAUAUACGGUAAGCG
RNAcentral lists this ribosomal RNA (638 nucleotides) under uncultured bacterium. RNAcentral describes it as "bacterial SSU rRNA". It matches the Rfam family "Bacterial small subunit ribosomal RNA", at positions 202 to 845 of the family's 1533-position model. The record is from RNAcentral.